AAAGGAAAGAAAGAGAAAAUAGAAAAGAAACUAAUGCCAACAACGGCGGAUCGACAAAAAAACGAAGAAGCCUUGAGGCCGCUGCACCCACCGGAGAUCGCCCACCAAGCUCCGAGCUUCCGAAGCGCCGGUACCAAUCAGCACCUUCAAGAAGGAACGCGACGAUGACGACGCUGCUGCCAAGGGUUUCCCCCGGUACGCUGUGAGGAGAGAGGAAGGGUAGCCCCGACGCCCUUCAGGAAGGUCAGGCGGUACCCACAAGCGCCACCGCCUCAGUGUCGGCCAAGCCAACAGAGAUUUCUCCCGAUCCCAACCACCACCUCAGGCACUCCAGAGCUCGCCACCAAACAGACCCUCACCCUGCGCCAACCCGGUCACGAAGCUUCUCAGGCCGUCUCACCACAGCACCGUGAAGCAUGGUCCGCAUAAAGAAGGAGAGGAGCCGGGACUAGGGCAGCAGCACCGUCGGCACGCGGGAGGGCCCCACCUCCACUGUCUCGACGGUAGCUGACCGGACGCAAUAGCAGGAACAUACCAGGCCCGUGGCCGCACAGGCCCGGCCGGGAUCUCCGAGGCCGUAAAGUUCCCGCCUUCGCGCUGCAGCCGGCACGCCGUCGACGCCGCCGCCCCUGUCCAAGCCGCUCCCCUGCCUCCCCCGCACAGAGAGCCGCCAAGUGAAAGCACCACCACCACGCGCGCCGCCGGCCACCACCACCAGGUCGCCGGACCGCCACCGGCCGAGUCGCACCACCACCGCACGCCCGCGACGGAGGGGAACCAACGCAGCCGCCAAGGGCCCGAAGCUGGACCCCAGCCGCCGCCCACGCCGCCCGCAGCCCGCGCCGCCU
RNAcentral lists this long non-coding RNA (848 nucleotides) under Triticum aestivum (bread wheat). RNAcentral's name for it is "long non-coding RNA (TAES_LNC022036)". The record is from RNAcentral. Lineage: Eukaryota; Viridiplantae; Streptophyta; Magnoliopsida; Poales; Poaceae.